RNAcentral lists this ribosomal RNA (675 nucleotides) under Bacillus amyloliquefaciens. RNAcentral describes it as "bacterial SSU rRNA". It matches the Rfam family "Bacterial small subunit ribosomal RNA", at positions 78 to 733 of the family's 1533-position model. The record is from RNAcentral. Lineage: Bacteria; Bacillati; Bacillota; Bacilli; Caryophanales; Bacillaceae.
GCUUGCUCCCUGAUGUUAGCGGCGGACGGGUGAGUAACACGUGGGUAACCUGCCUGUAAGACUGGGAUAACUCCGGGAAACCGCGGCUAAUACCGGAUGGUUGUUUGAACCGCAUGGUUCAGACAUAAAAGGUGGCUUCGGCUACCACUUACAGAUGGACCCGCGGCGCAUUAGCUAGUUGGUGAGGUAACGGCUCACCAAGGCGACGAUGCGUAGCCGACCUGAGAGGGUGAUCGGCCACACUGGGACUGAGACACGGCCCAGACUCCUACGGGAGGCAGCAGUAGGGAAUCUUCCGCAAUGGACGAAAGUCUGACGGAGCAACGCCGCGUGAGUGAUGAAGGUUUUCGGAUCGUAAAGCUCUGUUGUUAGGGAAGAACAAGUGCCGUUCAAAUAGGGCGGCACCUUGACGGUACCUAACCAGAAAGCCACGGCUAACUACGUGCCAGCAGCCGCGGUAAUACGUAGGUGGCAAGCGUUGUCCGGAAUUAUUGGGCGUAAAGGGCUCGCAGGCGGUUUCUUAAGUCUGAUGUGAAAGCCCCCCGGCUCAACCGGGGAGGGUCAUUGGAAACUGGGGAACUUGAGUGCAGAAGAGGAGAGUGGAAUUUCCACGUGUAGCGGGUGAAAAUGCCUAGAGAUGUGAGGAACACCAGUGGCGGAAGGCGACUCUCUGGU